Molecule: unclassified non-coding RNA, 5550 nt
Filed under: Octopus sinensis (East Asian common octopus)
Lineage: Eukaryota; Metazoa; Mollusca; Cephalopoda; Octopoda; Octopodidae
Description: ras-specific guanine nucleotide-releasing factor 2, transcript variant X5
Source: RNAcentral
CGAAAGAAAGAAUUCUUCGAAUUACUGCUAUCAGCCCGGCCUCUAAUGCUAGUGCAACAGAUGUUGCUUCUAUUUGCACGAGGAUUGAUACUAUUGGCACAGCCAACGAUAUCAUUGGCAUAGACUUCGACUGCUAUUGCCACGGCUGGUGACGCGCGCACACGUUACAACAGCGUUGAUAGUCAGAAUGGGAGGGAGAGGGAGAGAGAGAGAGACAGAGACAGACAGAGAGAGAGAGAGAGAGAGAGAGAGAGAGAGUAGAAGUGUGAGUGGAGAUAUGAGGGGGACAGAGUGAGGAGAAAAAGCAAGCAAGAAGCAAGGAAGGGGGUUUUGUAAAUAUCAAAAAACAAAAACAACGGAAAGGAAGGGAAAAAAAAGAGUAAAAAGCAGAGCACGGCGUAAGAGACGGAGUGAAGAAGUAUUGAAGGUAGUGGUAGGAACUGAACUGGUGGUCACCUCAACACCAGCAGCAACACUGAGACUGUAGUAUCAACCAAAAACAAGAACGACAACAGCAACAACUUCCAUCAUCAGCAUCAUCAUCAUUACCAUCAUCCACAUCACUACCAUACCCAUACUCAUCACCAUCAUCAUCAUCGUCAUCGUCAUCGUCGUAGUCCUUAUAACCGCCACCAUCGUCGUCUGCUCAACCACCACCAAACAGCCCACCUCUCCCCACGAACGCUUCUCCCACAACCAAAGCCCCCCAUCAUCAUCAUCGUCAUCGUCAUCAUCAUCAUCGUCAUCAUCAACAUCGUCAUCGUUUCGAUAGUGACCACCUCCACCGCUGUCCUGUCGUCGCUGCCGUCGAAUACAAGCCAUCAUCAUCAUCAUCAUCAUCAUUGACCAGUUGUUGUUGUUGUUGUUGUUGAUGUUGUCCAGCUUCUUGAGACUUAGAUUUACCACCACCACCACCACCACCGCCACUACCAUCACGAUCACCACCACGGCGGCGACGGCAACUACCACCAGCAAGCACCUCCAACGCCUCCUUCACCAUCACCACCUACAACACCAUCACUACCACCACCACAACCACCACAACCACCACCACCACCACCAGCUUUAUCAUCGACACUUCCAUCAUCACCACUUCUGCAUCAACCACUAACACCACCACUACCACCACCACCAUCACCACCACACCACCGCCAUCAUCACCACACUCAUUAACCACCACCACAAUCAUCACCAUCGCCUCUACAGCCCCAUUCACCACCACCACCAUUAACACCAUCACCUCCACUACUACUACUACUAUUACUACUACUACUACUACUACUACUACAGCAUAUACUUCUACUAUCAACUCCCGUGUCUUGGGGAAUAUAACCACCAAAUAUAUAUAAAAAUUCGACAAUGCAAAAAGCGAUCCGAUUCAAUGAGAGCCAAAUAUUAUAUUUGGCCCAAAAGGCUCGCCAGGAGAACACUCUGUGCGGUUACCUGUACAAGAAAAGUUCCGAUACUGGCAAGUGGCAGCUCAGGUGGUUCAUACUUUACCAGAAUUUCCUGUUUUACUAUGAGAAUGAUUCUGCAAGCCGGCCGUCAGGAGUGGCCCUGUUAGAAGGAAGCUAUUGUGACCGAGCAGUCGUAACUACCAGUAACAAAACCAAGGAUGAAAAACAGUUUUGUUUUAGUAUCACCUAUCACCAAAGUGCCGGACAACGUCAAUAUGAUCUUAAGGCGGACACCGAGGCUGACUGCAUUGCCUGGAUUGAAGCCAUUCGACAAGCUAGCUAUAGCAAGAUGAUAGAAUGCAAAGAAGAAUUGGAACAGAAACAUUUGCAUCUUCUACAGAUAUUAGACAGUGAAAGGCAGGCGAAAUGGCAUUAUGUCCAGCAAACAGAAGAACACACUGCCGAAAUUAAGAAACUUAAAAACGAGUACACUCAGCUCCUAAAAUAUAAGGCUGAAAGAAAGUUGUCAAAUCACCGAUUGGCCGAGGAAAAUGAGGAAAUUAGGAAAAUCAAGAAGGUUCAAAGUUUUUUUCGUGGUUGGCUCUGUCGACGGCGUUGGAAACAAAUUGUGGAGCUCUACAUCCGUUCUCCUCAUGCCGAAAGCAUGAGGAAACGUAACAGCAUUGUGUUCAAUAUGGUUGAAAGUGAAGAGGAAUAUAAUAGGCAGCUAUCCACUCUUGUUACAUGUUUUCUUCGACCUUUUAGGAUGGCUGCCAGCUCUAAGAAACCCCCCAUCACACACGAGGAUGUCAAUUCUAUAUUUCUAAAUAGCGAAACUUUAUUGUUCUUACACCAAAUCUUCUUAAAAGGAUUAUCAGCAAGGUUAGAAAAUUGGCCAACAUUAGUAUUAGGUGAUCUUUUUGACAUCCUUUUACCUAUGUUAUGUAUCUAUCAGGAGUAUGUUAGGAACCAUCAUUACAGUUUACAAGUUUUAGCAGAAUAUAAACAAAAACCAGACUUUAACAAUUUACUUAAACGCUAUGAAGAAAAACCAUUAUGUGAGGGGAGAAGCGUCGAAAUAUUCCUCACACAUCCUAUGCAUCAGAUCCCUAGGUAUAUAAUUACUCUUCACGAACUUUUGGCACACACUCCUCAUGACCAUGUGGAGAGAGAGAAGCUAGAGUAUGCCCAAAGUAAACUGGAAGAGUUAUCACGCAUAAUGCAUGAUGAAGUAAGUGAAACUGAAAACAUACGAAAAAAUUUAGCUGUCGAACGGAUGAUAAUUGAAGGAUGUGAUAUUUUGUUAGACGUCAAUCAAACAUUUAUCCGGCAAGGACUUCUACUUCAGUUGUUGCCAGAUAAACCAAAGAAUCUGCUCGGUCUUUCUUCUAAACGAGAAGUUGUGCGACAAGUCUUUCUUUUCUCUAAUCAUAUGUUGCUUACAAGCCGGGCAUCCAAUGGAAGACUGCACCUUGCCAAGAACUCAAGUAAGCAUUUGAAAGGACAAUUCUUAGACAAAUAUAGACAACAAGGGAAAAUUCCUCUGAUAGACUGCACACUUAUUGAAGAUCCCAGUUCUGAAGUUUUCCUCGUUGAUGAAGACACUUAUUCUUUAGACUCGGUUGGCAGUUUUGGCAGUCAGUCACUUGGUCCAAAUGCAUUGGGAAACCAAACUGAUGGAAAAGAUCGACCAGAUCAUCAUGGUCUUGAAUUCCGUCUUAUUAUAGAUUCAAAAAGUGGACCACCAUUAACACUGUCCCUAGUGGCAGCAACCCCACAAGAAAAAGCUGCUUGGUGUAGUGAGAUUAGUCAGUGCAUUGAAAAUCUUCACUACAGCGACCUUCUGAACAGCUCCAUGUGGGAAUCUUCAUCAGUGACUAUGCCACAGUCAGUUAGACAUAUAUGGAAGAAACGAACUUAUAGCCGCCCUGUUUUCAGGCAAAAGCUUCAGUCUGAUCCAAAGCUUUUUCGUGAUGAUGUGGAUAUAAAAUUUAGCAGAACCCUUAAUUCUUGCAGAGUCCCUCAGAUUCGACAUGCCACCGUUGACCGCCUUCUUGAUCGAUUAACAGAUCUGCGAUUUCUUAGUAUUGAUUUUCUCAACACGUUUCUACUCACAUAUAAAGUGUUCACUACAGGUUAUACUGUCCUUGAAGCACUAAGAAAAGUAUAUCGAAAUCCAGACUGCUGUGGAAACUUAGAAGCAAUUUCACAUAUGAACGAUCAAGAUGGCUAUCAAGAAGGUCAUGAUAAUACGGUUCAAUUCAGUGGAAGCCCUCCAGAUUCCCGUCUACUUAUCCGACCUCAGCCGAAUGGCCGUCGAAUCAGCACGGGCUGUAUGAGAACAGAGAUCACAGGUGAUAGUAGACAAGUGGCUGCUGACAAAGCUACCGUUCCUGCAGCACCCCCAUGCACUCCCAGUGCAUUUCACAAAUAUCGUGGUGGUGAUUCAACAGAAAGUGAAGAAAGCCAAUCGGAAAUAUCUUCCUAUCUUAAACCCUCCAGGCCCAAGUUAGCGCCAAUUGCUUCAUGUGAAACUUUAUAUGAUCAUGAAAUUCCUAUUAUCACAACGUCUGAUGAUGUCUUCCUGAAGGAGUCGAAAGCUGUUAUGGAAAAUUAUCCAAUUUCACUAAAAGACUGUGAUGAAUUGGAGAAUGAGAAGCAUGCUAAGCUCUUGGCUCCUUCAACCACACCUGUGUAUGUUUCAUCAUCAGAAACAUUAUAUGACGGGCUCACUCACGCUACACUGAGUUCUACUCCAAGUACAGACACUUUAACCCCUAAAUCAAUGAAAGUCAGCCCGGCUACUUCCCCCAUAAGCCCUUCCAGACAAUUUGUGCCAAACAAAUUAAUAAGCGAUAGUUUUCUUGGACAAGCAGUCAGCUCAUCAUCAGGCCUUACAAGUCCUCGGAAGUUUGUGCCAAUCAAUGUCGGUGACUCGAGAUUAUCAAGGCCAUCUACUCCAGUAAAAAGUGGCACACCAAUUUCAUCUCCAGUUAGUAGUCCCCGAAAGAGCCUACCGAUGAAACAAGUGGAGUUCUAUACUCGGCCAUCAACCCCAGUGAAAGCUACUGGCAGUUUACAUAGCCUUGAUUCAAUCUCAUGUUCUUCGAUUGAGAGUCCAACCAAGGCUUUUACUGCCAAAAUGACGUCCUCCCCAAGUAAAACCCCAGUACUAUCAGCCUCCCCAAGACACAUGCAGUCUCCAAGAGGCUCAGUUGUUAGAUCUCCAACAUCGAGUCCAAAGCUCCGCCGUGCCCCAUCUCCAAUCCUUGGUUACAGUUACUCUUCUCCAAACAUGAUAGUACCCAACAUGAAAAAUAUAUUUUCCAGCAAAAGAGGUAGUGCAGAAGCUGAAUCAAUUUCAACUCCCAGAAGCAGUUUUGCCCAGGCAGAUGGUUCACCCCCGCAGGCUAGAGCGGGAACUGUAGUUACGUCGUCACGCCAGUCAAAACGGCGAUCCAGUUCUUCUGCAGCUACCACUGCAUUUGCUGCUGCAACUGCAGGUUCAACAAAUCCACUCGAUCACCCAAAAGGAAGCCGGCAAUAUUUAAAUCCAGUGGAUACGAAAACAAAGAAACGAGAAUCAGUGUUAAGUGCAGCAGCUACGAUGAGGGUUCUAAAUGUAAUGAAACAUUGGGUUUCAAAACACUAUCAGGAUUUCGACACUGAUGCACAAUUGAAAGCUUUUUUGAUUGAUUUACUUGAAGAAAUGGUGUGCAACACCUCUUUACUACCAGCUGAGCAUAAAGCAGCUGCAGGCAUAUUACGCAUAAUCAACCAGGAGAGCCAAGAUAGCAAUAAAGUUGAUUUAGAUAUAUUAUUAGCCCCACCUGCAACAUCUUCAACAGACACGUCAGAUUCAUUAUCAGCAUUGGAUAUUGCAGAACAACUCACUUAUUUAGACCAUAAAAUUUUUAUUGCAAUUCGCAUGAACUGUUAUCUCAGACGUGGAUGAAACCAGAUAAGGAAGUCAGGGCACCACAUGUGCAUUUAGUCACAAAAAGAUUCAAUGAGGUGAGUCGUUUGGUAGUGUCGGAAAUAGUCGGACGUACCAAUAUACAAGACAGAGUAGCAUGUCUUGAAAAGUGGGCUGCAAUCGCAGAUAUUUGUCGCUGCAUGCACAAUUAUAAUGGUGUCUUACAGAUAUGUGCUG